Molecule: transfer RNA, 70 nt
Filed under: Acrida willemsei
Lineage: Eukaryota; Metazoa; Arthropoda; Insecta; Orthoptera; Acrididae
Also listed under: 3 other names
Description: tRNA-Ser
Rfam family: tRNA
About the family: Transfer RNA (tRNA) molecules are approximately 80 nucleotides in length. Their secondary structure includes four short double-helical elements and three loops (D, anti-codon, and T loops).
Source: RNAcentral
AGUUAAUUAGCUUAAGAAAAGCUUAUGUUUUGAAAACAUAAAAUUAGAAGUUUAAUUCUUCUAUUAACUU